AAAAAAAACAAAGAAACAAACAAACAAAAAAAACUUAACCUCUACCACCAGAUUGUUUGCACCAGAUUGCUUGGGCUCAAAUCUCAGCUCAACCACAUACAGCUGUGCAACUUUGACACAUUACUUAACCUCUCUGUGUCUCAGUUUCCUCACCUAUAAAACGGGGGAAUUGUCAUUAUACCUACUCAUAGGGUUGUUGUGGGUACUUAAUAUUUGUACAACACUUAGAACAGUGCUGACACACGUAUGUACUAAUUUGGUGUUGGUUAUUACCAUUUUCCUGGGAUAAAUAGAUUGGACAGAAUCAACUCAUCUGCAUUUCUUCACCAACAGCAGGGAAUCACUCAGUCCAUGGUUACCACUGCUCUGUUAAUCCCCAAGAAUUUUUAGGAGCCUCAGGGAGGACUGAGGCAAAGCCAGCAAUGCAGUUGAUGGAGUCCCUACCACGGAACAAGAUUUGUGGUCUUUGAUGGCAAAUCUUGGUCCUGAUUUUCUUCAUGCUUGUUGAUGAAGGUGGUCAAAACCUUAGGGAAUAGAUGUUCUAGAAUAUCCCCAAGAUGAGCUACAUCGGGAAGGCAUUAGCACUUAACAACAGCAAGUGCCCUCUGAGGGCUCACAUACAUCAUCUCACUUUGUCCUUCCAAGAGCCCUGUGGGGUAUUAGACUCAUUUUACUGAUGAGUAAAUGGAGUUCAGAGAAGUAAUUGUCCCAGAUUCUCAGAGCCAGUAAGUGGUAGAGGUAGAAUUCAAACUUAGGUCUUUUAAAUCUGAAAACUGAUGUCCUUAAUCCUGAUGUCAUAGCUCAGCAUUCUCAAAGGGUGGUCUUUUAUUUCCUAAGAUAAAAGGGGCACUUCCUAAGAUCCUUUUAAGGAACUGGCAAGGUUGAAACUAUUUCAGAAUAAUAAUACGAUAUGUCUGUGCAUCGUGGUGCACACCUGUAAUCUCAGCUACUCAGGAAGCUGAGGUGGGAAGAUUGCUUGAGCCCAGGAGUUUGAGCCCAGCCUGGGCAAUACAGCAAGAUUCCAUAAAAAAAUGAUUUUCUCACUGUGUUGAAAUUUGCACUAUGAGGCAAAAACAAUGGUAGGUAAAACUGUUGGAGCUUGACCGCAAAGGAAUGCUGUGGCUCAGUACUGAUUGUAUUUGUCAUUGUCACUCACUCACAGGGGAAAAAAAUGCUAGCCUCACUUAAAAAUGUCCCUGACGAAGCUGCAGAAAAAGAAUCAAUUUUAUGAAAUCUCAAACCUUAAGUGCUAGGUUUAUACAGUCCGUGUAACCAAAUGAGAACUAUGUUUUGAAUACCUCAGCCAGGGUAUGCUGGUGGUCUCAGGCAAAGGCACUUGUGCGACUGAGUUGCGAGCUGAACUAGCUGCUUUUUUCCAUGAAACACCAUAUUUACUUGAAGGAAUGACAGGUAAAUUAUGGUUAUUCAGGCUUGGGUAUUUGGCAGACAUUGUCUCAAAAAUGAGCUAAGUGAGGCUGUCACUUCAAAGAAAGCAACUGACAGUAUUUGUUGCCAAGGAUAAAAAUUCAAGGUUUCAAGUGAUAAUUAUGAUUUUGGAAAACUUGUGUGAGCCAAUGUGAUUUGUUUUUACACUGUAUAAUGAAAUGUGCCAAAUUUAGAAGACCUGCGUAACUCUACGAUACAAUACUUUCCAAAUGACCAAUGCGUGAUGUUACGCAAUUAUGCCUGGCUAAAAGACCCAUUCAACAUGCAGGAUUAGAAAAAUGGAUUUUCAUGUAGAAGAGCGUGAAAGGUUAAUAUGGUUUCAGAUUCCACAUUGCAACUAGCCUUUAAGAUACUACCACUUGUCGAGUUUUGGUGUAGUAUCAAAGAAUAUCCAUAAUUAUUUGAAA
Sapajus apella (tufted capuchin) is the source of this 1853-nucleotide long non-coding RNA. RefSeq lists it as uncharacterized. The transcript is spliced from 3 exons. NCBI's taxonomy places the organism in Eukaryota, Metazoa, Chordata, Mammalia, Primates, Cebidae. The record is from RefSeq and is a predicted model, not a curated record.